AUUGAACGCUGGCGGAAUGCUUUACACAUGCAAGUCGAACGGUAGAGGGGGCAACCCCUCGAGAGUGGCGAACGGGUGAGUAAUAUAUCGGAACGUGCCCAGUCGUGGGGGAUAACGUAGCGAAAGUUACGCUAAUACCGCAUACGAUCUAAGGAUGAAAGCGGGGGAUCGCAAGACCUCGCGCGAUUGGAGCGGCCGAUAUCAGAUUAGGUAGUUGGUGGGGUAGAGGCUCACCAAGCCAACGAUCUGUAGCUGGUCUGAGAGGACGACCAGCCACACUGGAACUGAGACACGGUCCAGACUCCUACGGGAGGCAGCAGUGGGGAAUUUUGGACAAUGGACGCAAGUCUGAUCCGGCCAUUCCGCGUGCAGGAUGAAGGCCCUCGGGUUGUAAACUGCUUUUGUACGGAACGAAAAGGUCUCUCUUAAUACGGGGGACUCAUGACGGUACCGUAAGAAUAAGCACCGGCUAACUACGUGCCAGCCGCCGCGGUAA
Molecule: ribosomal RNA, 496 nt
Filed under: uncultured bacterium
Lineage: Bacteria
Description: partial 16S ribosomal RNA
Rfam family: Bacterial small subunit ribosomal RNA
Source: RNAcentral